This 468-nucleotide ribosomal RNA is filed under the name uncultured bacterium. Its description in RNAcentral is "partial 16S ribosomal RNA". It matches the Rfam family "Bacterial small subunit ribosomal RNA", at positions 28 to 507 of the family's 1533-position model. The record is from RNAcentral.
GACGAACGCUGGCGGCGUGCUUAACACAUGCGAGUCGAACGGAAAGGCCCUGCUUUUGUGGGGUUCUCGAGUGGCGAACGGGUGAGUAACACGUGAGUAACCUGCCCUUGACUUUGGGAUAGCUUCAGGAAACGGGGGCUAAUACCGGAUAGGAGCUCCUGCUGGAUGGUGGGGGGGGGAAAGUUGAGGCGGGUGGGGCUGGACUCGCGGCUUAUCAGCUUGUUGGUCGGGUAGGGGUUUACCAAGGCUUUGACGGGUAGGCGGCCUGAGAGGGUGACCGGCCACCUUGGGCCUGAGAUACGGCCCAGACGCCUACGGGAGGCAGAAGUGGGGAAUAUUGCACAAUGGGCGGAAGCCUGAUGAAGCAACGCCGCGUGCGGGAUGACGGCCUUCGGGUUGUAAACCGCUUUCGCCUGUGACGAAGCGUGAGUGACGGUAAUGGGUAAAGAAGCACCGGCUAACUACGUG